This 269-nucleotide ribosomal RNA is filed under the name uncultured prokaryote. RNAcentral describes it as "partial 16S ribosomal RNA". It matches the Rfam family "Bacterial small subunit ribosomal RNA", at positions 524 to 792 of the family's 1533-position model. The record is from RNAcentral.
UACGAAGGGGGCUAGCGUUGUUCGGAAUUACUGGGCGUAAAGCGCACGUAGGCGGAUUGUUUAGUGAGGGGUGAAAUCCCAGGGCUCAACCCUGGAACUGCCUCUCAUACUGGCAAUCUCGAGUUCGAGAGAGGUGAGUGGAAUUCCGAGUGUAGAGGUGAAAUUCGUAGAUAUUCGGAGGAACACCAGUGGCGAAGGCGGCUCACUGGCUCGAUACUGACGCUGAGGUGCGAAAGCGUGGGGAGCAAACAGGAUUAGAUACCCCGGUA